RNAcentral lists this transfer RNA (128 nucleotides) under Hypoxylon argillaceum. RNAcentral describes it as "tRNA-Trp". It matches the Rfam family "tRNA". Rfam says of the family: Transfer RNA (tRNA) molecules are approximately 80 nucleotides in length. Their secondary structure includes four short double-helical elements and three loops (D, anti-codon, and T loops). Further hydrogen bonds mediate the characteristic L-shaped molecular structure. tRNAs have two regions of fundamental functional importance: the anti-codon, which is responsible for specific mRNA codon recognition, and the 3' end, to which the tRNAs corresponding amino acid is attached (by aminoacyl-tRNA synthetases). tRNAs cope with the degeneracy of the genetic code in two manners: having more than one tRNA (with a specific anti-codon) for a particular amino acid; and 'wobble' base-pairing, i.e. permitting non-standard base-pairing at the 3rd anti-codon position. Lineage: Eukaryota; Fungi; Ascomycota; Sordariomycetes; Xylariales; Hypoxylaceae. The record is from RNAcentral.
GGACCCAUAGCUCAGCGGUAGAGCAUCUGAUUCCAGCUUAAAACUUUACAAACUGGAGUAAUUCCACUCCAGUAAAGUAAAAAUCAACUGCCUCCAGAAGGUCAUCCGUUCAAAUCGGGUUGGGUUCA